GUGCCUGUGGCUCAAAGGAGUAGGGCACUGGCCCUAUACACCAGAGGUGGUGGGUUCAAACCCACCCCGGACA
This 73-nucleotide transfer RNA is filed under the name Otolemur garnettii (small-eared galago). It matches the Rfam family "tRNA". Rfam says of the family: Transfer RNA (tRNA) molecules are approximately 80 nucleotides in length. Their secondary structure includes four short double-helical elements and three loops (D, anti-codon, and T loops). Further hydrogen bonds mediate the characteristic L-shaped molecular structure. tRNAs have two regions of fundamental functional importance: the anti-codon, which is responsible for specific mRNA codon recognition, and the 3' end, to which the tRNAs corresponding amino acid is attached (by aminoacyl-tRNA synthetases). tRNAs cope with the degeneracy of the genetic code in two manners: having more than one tRNA (with a specific anti-codon) for a particular amino acid; and 'wobble' base-pairing, i.e. permitting non-standard base-pairing at the 3rd anti-codon position. Lineage: Eukaryota; Metazoa; Chordata; Mammalia; Primates; Galagidae. The record is from Rfam by way of RNAcentral.